RNAcentral lists this long non-coding RNA (2139 nucleotides) under Ficedula albicollis (Collared flycatcher). RNAcentral's name for it is "lncRNA (ENSFALG00000024935.1)". The record is from RNAcentral. Lineage: Eukaryota; Metazoa; Chordata; Aves; Passeriformes; Muscicapidae.
AUGGCACUGAAAAUGUCACCUCAGCCACUGCCUGCAGGAUGGAGUCCCCUUUCCACUUGGACAAUGGAGCCAGAGCAUCCUGCACAAGGAUCAUCCCUCAAUGCCCCUGCCAGGCGAAAAGCAAACCCCAGCAGCCUGAAUAGAGCCAGCCCUCCCUGCUGCAGGUGCAGCAAGGACUUUGAAACACUGAUCUCACUUUGCUGGGAAAGUGGAAUUCAUAACUUGAGGAGCAACACAGUCACAGCUUUGUCCAGGACAGAGAAACCUCUGGCUGAUGCAGAGGAGGCUGAGCAGGGCAGGGCAUCACAGAGGCAACAGGAGGAAAAGCCAGGUUGGUCCUGCAGCCUCCCCAGGGACAGGAGUGCUGCCCCAGGAUGGAGCAGAGCACAUCUGUGUGAUGGGACAAGGCAGAGGGCAAAGGUUUUACACGGAUUCGUGCUGUGCCAGCAGCCACAAAUGAUUCAGCCAUGAUUUGCUGCCUCUCCCUCUCUUCGCAGGAGGAAGGGAAAAAAAAAAAAAAAAAAAAAAAAAAAAAAAGGUUUGGUUUCAUAUAAUUAACUGGCUUUGUGGAUCUGCUUGGUUCUAUUGAUUCCUCCCAUUGACUCCAGCGCUGCCUGCGAGCUGCCGGCCCCUCCCUGGGCUCAGCGAGCCACGCUGGCUCCUGCAGCUGGAUUUGGGUCCAGGACAAGCCCAGGGCAAGGCUGGAGCAGAGGGACCCGCGGAGGAGCUGCACAGCUGUCACCCAGCCCCUCUGCCAGCGCUGCCGGAGCUCCUGCUCCGCUGUCCCCACCCUCUGCCCCGCCACCCAGCUCUCAGAAAACAGCGCUGUCCCAGUUUUGCAGCCUCCCAGGGAUUAUUUGUGCCGUGCCCCAACUCCACCCGGCUCUCCGCGGCGAGCGCACGAAGCGGGUCGGGGGGUGCGGGUCCUGCGGGGCACAGAGGGGCUGCAGGGGGAGCAGAGCAGCCCCCCCAGCCCAGCCCAGCCCAGCCCAGCCCAGCCCGGCCCAGCCCGGCCUCGCUGCGGGACCCGGCGGGGGAACCCUGGAUCCGCCAAGACAAACAGCAGCGCCCCGAGCUCCGCACGUUCGCGGGGACACGGCGCAGAAACGGACACGGCACGGAACGGGCACAUCUGGAGCUCAGCCAGGGCUGGGAAAGCUCCGGGAAAGGCAGCAGGAGGGAGGGGUGAUAAGGGGGUGGGUGGCAGCAGCCACGCCACAUCCCCGAUGCAAGGGGAGACCUCCUGGAGCUGGCUGCCCCCAGCUUUCCUCCAGCUGUUGCUCAAUGCCGCAAACCAGCCGAGGGGACCUGGAGAAGCCCUUGAUCUCCCAAGAGCUCUGAAACCUUGGCUCUGCUGACAGCCGGCUCCAGCCAGAGCAAACACCACAUCUGCACAAGCCCCGUGUGCCACGAGCAGUGUGUCACUGGGUCACCCUGGCAGAACGGCAGGGAGGAAAUUUCGGUCUUUGUUUUACGGCUGUUGCCAGGGAUCACCCGCAAGCCCUCCACGGGCGCCUGGAAACACACCGAAGUUAAAAUAUUAAAAAGAAAAAAAAAAAAAAAAAAAGGGGGGGGGGGGGGGGGGGGGGGGGGGGGGGGGGGGGGGGGGGAAAAAAAAAAAAAAAAAAAAAAAAAGAAAAAAAAAGAGAAAAAAUCCAGAAAGAAAAUCACUUUCAAAAAUAGACAAACCCACAACAGUUCGGAAGACGCCGCGGAGCACGCAGGAUGCAGGGGACACAGGGAUCUUCCCUAGGCACCGAGCACUAUCCAGGGAGCAGAAAGCAGGAGCUGGGUGGUCCCUUUGCCCCGGGACUCCGCGACCAACAGGUCCCACGGCCCCGGUGCCAAAGCUGCAGAAGCGGGGACGCUUCACCGGGGUGCGCAACGCCCGCCCGCAUCCCCCGGGCAUCCCCCGGCCGCGGGCAUCCCCGGAGCAUCCCCACGCUGGCAUGGGCACGGUGGGACCCCCUGGGGACACCCCUGAGCGGCACCCCCAGCAGCGCUGCCGCCCUCUUUCUCCUCCUCCUCCUCCGUCCUCCCUUCCCGGAGCUCCGCGCGGAGCGGGGGGGGGGGGGGGGGGGGGGGGGGGGGGGGGGGGGGGGGGGGGGGGGGGGGGGGGGGGGGGGGGGGGGGGGGGGG